UACUUACACUCGCCGAGGGUGUUCCAGAGCUUGAUGGUGUUGUCGCGGGAGGCGGAGACGAUCUGGCGGUUGUCGACGGAGAAGGCGACCGAGAUGACGUCCUUGGUGUGGCCGACGAAGCGGCGGGUGGUGAGGCCGGUGGAGAGGUCCCAGAGGCGGAGCUCGCCGUCCCAGGAGCCCGAGAGCGCGAACUGGCCGUCGGAGCUGAUGACGACGUCCUGGACGAAGUGGCCGUGGCCGGUGAGGCGGCGGAAGGGCACGGCGUAGUCGGUGCCGACGGUGCCGUCGCCGAGGGACGCGACCGGGUUGGUGAGGUCCCAGACCAGCAGCGACUUGUCGCGGGAGCCGGACACGAUGUAGGGCGAGUUGUCGAUCGGCGCCGCGAUCGCCGUCACCACGUCGUUGUGGCCGCGCAUCGUGCCCACCAGGGUGAGCGACUCCUGCAUGUUCGCCAUGGCUGCCGCGGGGAGAUUGGUGGGGCGGAGCUCGCGGCG
Molecule: long non-coding RNA, 494 nt
Filed under: Hordeum vulgare
Lineage: Eukaryota; Viridiplantae; Streptophyta; Magnoliopsida; Poales; Poaceae
Description: long non-coding RNA (HVUL_LNC002288)
Source: RNAcentral